RNAcentral lists this transfer RNA (66 nucleotides) under Heterocephalus glaber (naked mole-rat). It matches the Rfam family "tRNA". From Rfam's summary of the family: Transfer RNA (tRNA) molecules are approximately 80 nucleotides in length. Their secondary structure includes four short double-helical elements and three loops (D, anti-codon, and T loops). Lineage: Eukaryota; Metazoa; Chordata; Mammalia; Rodentia; Bathyergidae. The record is from Rfam by way of RNAcentral.
UGAGGCUCAAUGGGAGAGUGUAUACUUUGUGUGCAUGAGGUCCUGGGUUCAAUUCCCAGGUCUCAA